GUCGAACGAACUCUGGUAUUGAUUGGUGCUUGCAUCAUGAUUUACAUUUGAGUGAGUGGCGAACUGGUGAGUAACACGUGGGAAACCUGCCCAGAAGCGGGGGAUAACACCUGGAAACAGAUGCUAAUACCGCAUAACAACUUGGACCGCAUGGUCCGAGUUUGAAAGAUGGCUUCGGCUAUCACUUUUGGAUGGUCCCGCGGCGUAUUAGCUAGAUGGUGGGGUAACGGCUCACCAUGGCAAUGAUACGUAGCCGACCUGAGAGGGUAAUCGGCCACAUUGGGACUGAGACACGGCCCAAACUCCUACGGGAGGCAGCAGUAGGGAAUCUUCCACAAUGGACGAAAGUCUGAUGGAGCAACGCCGCGUGAGUGAAGAAGGGUUUCGGCUCGUAAAACUCUGUUGUUAAAGAAGAACAUAUCUGAGAGUAACUGUUCAGGUAUUGACGGUAUUUAACCAGAAAGCCACGGCUAACUACGUGCCAGCAGCCGCGGUAAUACGUAGGUGGCAAGCGUUGUCCGGAUUUAUUGGGCGUAAAGCGAGCGCAGGCGGUUUUUUAAGUCUGAUGUGAAAGCCUUCGGCUCAACCGAAGAAGUGCAUCGGAAACUGGGAAACUUGAGUGCAGAAGAGGACAGUGGAACUCCAUGUGUAGCGGUGAAAUGCGUAGAUAUAUGGAAGAACACCAGUGGCGAAGGCGGCUGUCUGGUCUGUAACUGACGCUGAGGCUCGAAAGUAUGGGUAGCAAACAGGAUUAGAUACCCUGGUAGUCCAUACCGUAAACGAUGAAUGCUAAGUGUUGGAGGGUUUCCGCCCUUCAGUGCUGCAGCUAACGCAUUAAGCAUUCCGCCUGGGGAGUACGGCCGCAAGGCUGAAACUCAAAGGAAUUGACGGGGGCCCGCACAAGCGGUGGAGCAUGUGGUUUAAUUCGAAGCUACGCGAAGAACCUUACCAGGUCUUGACAUACUAUGCAAAUCUAAGAGAUUAGACGUUCCCUUCGGGGACAUGGAUACAGGUGGUGCAUGGUUGUCGUCAGCUCGUGUCGUGAGAUGUUGGGUUAAGUCCCGCAACGAGCGCAACCCUUAUUAUCAGUUGCCAGCAUUAAGUUGGGCACUCUGGUGAGACUGCCGGUGACAAACCGGAGGAAGGUGGGGAUGACGUCAAAUCAUCAUGCCCCUUAUGACCUGGGCUACACACGUGCUACAAUGGAUGGUACAACGAGUUGCGAACUCGCGAGAGUAAGCUAAUCUCUUAAAGCCAUUCUCAGUUCGGAUUGUAGGCUGCAACUCGCCUACAUGAAGUCGGAAUC
Molecule: ribosomal RNA, 1306 nt
Filed under: Pediococcus acidilactici
Lineage: Bacteria; Bacillati; Bacillota; Bacilli; Lactobacillales; Lactobacillaceae
Description: bacterial SSU rRNA
Rfam family: Bacterial small subunit ribosomal RNA
Source: RNAcentral